RNAcentral lists this ribosomal RNA (478 nucleotides) under uncultured Allobrachymonas sp. Its description in RNAcentral is "bacterial SSU rRNA". It matches the Rfam family "Bacterial small subunit ribosomal RNA", at positions 897 to 1383 of the family's 1533-position model. The record is from RNAcentral. Lineage: Bacteria; Pseudomonadati; Pseudomonadota; Betaproteobacteria; Burkholderiales; Comamonadaceae.
AAACUCAAAUGAAUUGACGGGACCCGCACAAGCGGUGGAUGAUGUGGUUUAAUUCGAUGCAACGCGAAAACCUUACCCACCUUUGACAUGGCAGGAAUCCUAAAGAGAUUGGGAGUGCUCGAAAGAGAACCUGCACACAGGUGCUGCAUGGCUGUCGUCAGCUCGUGUCGUGAGAUGUUGGGUUAGGUCCCGCAACGAGCGCAACCCUUGCCAUUAGUUGCUACGAAAGGGCACUCUAAUGGGACUGCCGGUGACAAACCGGAGGAAGGUGGGGAUGACGUCAAGUCCUCAUGGCCCUUAUAGGUGGGGCUACACACGUCAUACAAUGGCCGGUACAGAGGGUAGCCAACCCGCGAGGGGGAGCCAAUCCCACAAAGCCGGUCGUAGUCCGGAUCGCAGUCUGCAACUCGACUGCGUGAAGUCGGAAUCGCUAGUAAUCGCGGAUCAGCAUGUCGCGGUGAAUACGUUCCCGGGUCUG